RNAcentral lists this ribosomal RNA (449 nucleotides) under uncultured bacterium. RNAcentral's name for it is "partial 16S ribosomal RNA". It matches the Rfam family "Bacterial small subunit ribosomal RNA", at positions 329 to 795 of the family's 1533-position model. The record is from RNAcentral.
GGCCAGACUCCUACGGGAGGCAGCAGUGGGGAAUAUUGCACAAUGGGGGAAACCCUGAUGCAGCGACGCCGCGUGAGUGAAGAAGUAUUUCGGUAUGUAAAGCUCUAUCAGCAGGAAAGAAAAUGACGGUACCCGACUAAGAAGCCCCGGCUAACUACGUGCCAGCAGCCGCGGUAAUACGUAGGGGGCAAGCGUUAUCCGGAUUUACUGGGUGUAAAGGGAGCGUAGACGGUGAAGCAAGUCUGAAGUGAAAGGCGGGGGCUCAACCCCCGGACUGCUUUGGAAACUGUUUGACUGGAGUGCAGGAGAGGUAAGUGGAAUUCCUAGUGUAGCGGUGAAAUGCGUAGAUAUUAGGAGGAACACCAGUGGCGAAGGCGGCUUACUGGACUGUAACUGACGUUGAGGCUCGAAAGCGUGGGGAGCAAACAGGAUUAGAUACCCUUGUAUCA